RNAcentral lists this ribosomal RNA (465 nucleotides) under uncultured bacterium. RNAcentral describes it as "partial 16S ribosomal RNA". It matches the Rfam family "Bacterial small subunit ribosomal RNA", at positions 28 to 507 of the family's 1533-position model. The record is from RNAcentral.
GACGAACGCUGGCGGCGUGCUUAACACAUGCCAGUCGAACGGUAAGGCUCCAGCUUGCUGGGGUACACGAGUGGCGAACGGGUGAGUAACACGUGGGUGACCUGCCCUGCACUUCGGGAUAAGCCUGGGAAACUGGGUCUAAUACCGGAUAGGACCGCACCGUGAGGGUGUGGUGGAAAGUUUUUUCGGUGUGGGAUGGGCCCGCGGCCUAUCAGCUUGUUGGUGGGGUAAUGGCCUACCAAGGCGGCGACGGGUAGCCGGCCUGAGAGGGUGGACGGCCUCAUUGGGACUGAGACACGGCCCAGACUCCUACGGGAGGCAGCAGUGGGGAAUAUUGCACAAUGGGCGGAAGCCUGAUGCAGCGACGCCGCGUGGGGGAUGACGGCCUUCGGGUUGUAAACUCCUUUCACCAUCGACGAAGGGUUUCUGACGGUAGAUGGAGAAGAAGCACCGGCUAACUACGUG